AAUCAAUCGCCACAUUUCGCACGUCUAUUCUUUUCUUUCACGUAUUUCACCAAGUUCACGCAUUUCCCUGUGAAAAAAAAUGCAUCUUUCUAUUUCUUGUCACCCGCUUAGGUUUAGCUUGUUCCAAUACCAAGGCGACUCCACAAAAUGGUAGCUACUACGGCACUUCUCCACAAACCCACCUUCAAACUUUCUCUCUCUUAUCCUUCUAACCUCCGUACCUUCAAACCCACUCUGCUUCUACGACUUCCAGCUUCAAGAUCUGUUUUCUUUGGUGCGUUUGGUUCCAAGAAAGGCGUGUCGAAGACCUCCAUGACUGAGCUGUUCAAAACUUCUGCUUUUAGGGAUGAUGAUGGUGAGAAAAAUGUCAGAAUGUUUCAACAAGAAGCUUUAGUAAAGGAACCCUCUAAGUUUUCUUCCGAAUUGACGGCUGAGGGAUUGGAACGCACUCUCAAUCGUUUGGUUUGUUACUUUUUUUCCCCUCUUUUUUUUAUCGCUCUGAACUUUGUAAUAUAACUAGUUUUUGCAUUUGUUCAAAACUUAUGCAACUAAGGCUUUUUCCUUUCACGUGGGUCUUUAUUUCUAUUUAUUGCCUCAAGCUUAGAUUUUGUAUGUGCCCAAGAAAACUGGAAUUAUAGCAUAGCAAGGGGUUUGGUUGAAUCUAAUAUUACCCAUUACAAAAUCGAAUUAGAAAUGCAAUAUUCUUGGUAAUCAUGAAAUUUAUGCAGUUAUGUAUUACAAAAUAGCCGACCCCAUGUUUAUGAGAAUUUAACCCAGCAGAGAAAGCGAAUCUAUGUAGCCGAUCACAGGCUUAGUUGAAUUAAGUUGAGUUGAGUUUUAUGUAUUACAAAAUCAUAUGGCACAUAAUAGUAUUUGUACCCAGAAAAUCAAAUAUUCUAUACUCUUGUUCCUCCGUGGGAACUUGGGAACACUGUAUAAGUCACUUAAAAUUUAUAGAAUUUAUCAUUUAAUAUCUGUGAUAUAUUUAUGUGAGCUUCAAUUGUAGAAAGUUAUUUAGUAUUUCAAUAACCUUGGACCAAAUUUUAGUCCCAAUUUUCCAAUUCGCUUUGGUACUAUUAUGUUCUAAAACUUUUCUUUCAGCAUUUAAUUGAGCAUUCUCACUCAACAUUCAGACCAAAUAACUUUUGUCAUGAAAUUAUAGCGUAUUUGUUCUUGGUACAGAGCAAGUGGUUUGUAUCUGUCUUGUUUGCUGCUGUCAUUCUUUGGAGGCAUGAUGCUGAGUCCAUGUGGAUUGCUAUGGGGUCUGUAUUAAAUGCUAUCCUUUCAGUAACACUCAAACGGAUAUUCAAUCAAGAGAGACCUUUUCCAUCGGCAAAUUCUGAUCCCGGGAUGCCAUCUUCACAUGCACAAUCUAUCUUCUACACUGUUGUGUUUUGCAUUCUUUCAAUUACAGAAUGGUUUGGAGUAAAUGAAUUUACCUUGAUCAUAAAUGCACUCACCUUGGUAUUUGGCUCAUAUUUUGUAAGUAUCAUGUUGUCACUCAUGCUAUAUUGUACCUUACAUGCUUAUGGGCACAGCUAACUUUAUUAUUAUUUUUUUUUUCAGAAAGAAAUAAUGUAAACUGAAGAAACUAAUGGCUUUACGAAUUAGUGAAAUGAAAGAAAAAUUCAUAGAGCCUGAGAACUAGUCUAAGAGAUUCUACAUUCUUAAGAACAUUAGGACAAUAGGUUAACUAAUAGAGUUUAUGACAAUAGCAGACACUUGAUUUUUUCCCCCUUAUAAUUGGUGAUGGUUUAUGAAAUCUAUUCAUUGUGCAGUAAAGUGAGAAUGGACUGGUUGCUGAUGCUUAUCUGUGUCAUCUGUUUUUGUAGUCAUGGCUACGGGUAUCACAACGAUAUCAUACAACCAGCCAAGUUGUGGUUGGUGCUGCUGUUGGGUCCCUAUUCUCAUUUUUGUGGUAUUGGUCAUGGCAAUCCAUUGUGCUGGAAGCAUUUGUUUCCUCCUUGACAGUUCGAAUAAUUGUCAUUCUGGCAGCUUCUACAUUCUGCCUAGGCUUUCUUUUAUAUGUGAUUCGCCAUUGGCUUAAGGAUGAAGAAUGAAAUUAUUUUAUGGGGAUAAAGGUAACUGCAAGCUGACUGAAUUCCUUUUUGGAAUUACAUUAUGGAAUCACAUUUGUUGUUUCUGAUUCAGUACAGUCAACUGGGUUUUGCCAUGAGGCUCAAUAGAAUCCUCUGUCAUGAGAUGCUGAAUACUUGGUGGUUGAUCAGAUUAGCUUUCUUCCUUUUUCCUUGCUUUGAGACUUAAAUUAUUUGGUGGUUGAUCAGAUUUGAUUUGAUUGCUAACUGAUCUUUUCUGUGCACUAAUAUGCAAACAUGGUUUAUAGUCGUUUUGAGAUUGAAGUGCAAUCAAACACAGAAAUUCAAAAGGAGGAAAAUGGCAAAAUAUUACUCACAAUUGCGUUAAUUACAACUAGGAUUUACUAAGAUGGUAUUUUAAAAAAAAAAAAAUUGCAAUUUAUCCAGUAAAAAAAAAUCAAAUUUUGACUUAACGUCAAAGUAACAAAUGAGCAACACCACAUGAAUUUUGAGUUACAUCUACAUGCCCCAUGAACCGAACAAAACUGAAUUGCAUCUUGGUGGUCCUGAAUAUGAUAAACAAGCUCAUUCAGAAUCUAUAAAUGUCAAAGCUAUAAAAUUUUAAAGGCCUACGUUAUCACUAUUAGCAUGCACUUUGCAAAGGCAACCUAUGUUGGAAAUUCCCAUACCUGUUUUGUCCAAAUAUCUCCAAA
RNAcentral lists this unclassified non-coding RNA (2749 nucleotides) under Hevea brasiliensis (rubber tree). The record is from RNAcentral. Lineage: Eukaryota; Viridiplantae; Streptophyta; Magnoliopsida; Malpighiales; Euphorbiaceae.